CUCCAGUGAUGACUUUUGUUUUGUGCCAUGUGUCUGGGCCACUGAUUAGUAGUGAUGGGUUUGAGGAACUGAGGAA
Acanthochromis polyacanthus (spiny chromis) is the source of this 76-nucleotide small nucleolar RNA. Lineage: Eukaryota; Metazoa; Chordata; Actinopteri; Pomacentridae. The record is from Ensembl.